GAUCCCAACAAGGUAUGCUGACACCUGAUUGGACGCCAGCGUGACUCUUUAACGCAUGUGAGCAGCUGGCAAGCCGACUUCUUUUCACAAACGGAUAGGUCAUCUGAGUAGUCGGUCCUCACCAGCUCCACAGUUCCUCUGUAUCUGAUAGUCAGGUGAACCAUGCCAUCAGUACCAUCUAGUUCUGAGUCAGCUGGGACUGGCCCCGUCUGCCCACAUGCUGCCAAAGUCCUCACAAAUGCUGCACAUGGAGAACCUGGCUUCAACAGAGAUGCUGUAUUGAACGGGAAGGCUGGGCACAAGUUAAGUGUGAAUGAAACCAAUGGUCACCAUGUGCAGAGUGUGACUGCUGAGCACAUUGAGAAUGGAUCCGAAGGCAGCAUGGAGAGGAAAUGGAUUCGGCCAGAUUUGCCCAGCAGAUGCACCUGGAAACUUGGUGACCCAAAUACAGAGUCGCCCCACAAGCACUUCCAAAGAACAAAGACACCCAAUAUCCUUCCCAACAUUUUAAGCAGGAUUGGAGAGACCCCACUGGUCCGCAUGAACAAGAUUCCUAAAGCUUCAGGCCUCAAGUGUGAGCUUUUGGCUAAAUGUGAGUUCUUCAACGCCGGUGGUAGCGUGAAGGACAGAAUCAGUCUGCGAAUGGUAGAGGAUGCGGAGAGAGACGGCAUCCUGAAACCUGGAGACACCAUCAUUGAGCCCACGUCAGGAAACACAGGGAUCGGUCUCGCUUUGGCAGCAGCAGUCAAAGGUUAUCGCUGCAUCAUAGUCAUGCCUGAGAAGAUGAGCAUGGAAAAGGUGGAUGUGCUCCGUGCUCUCGGUGCUGAGAUUGUUCGUACCCCUACCUCAGCCCGGUUUGACUCUCCUGAGUCUCACGUGGGGGUGGCUUGGCGUUUGAAGAACGAGAUUCCUAACGCUCAUAUUCUGGACCAGUACCGCAAUCCCAGCAACCCCCUUGCCCACUAUGACACCACUGCAGAGGAGAUUCUGGAGCAGUGUGAUGGUAAAAUAGACAUGCUGGUAGCCGGAGCUGGCACUGGUGGCACCAUCACGGGCAUCGCUCGCAAGCUGAAGGAGAAAUGCCCUAAUAUCAAGAUAGUUGGAGUGGACCCUGAGGGCUCUAUCCUUGCUGAGCCAGAGGAGCUGAAUAAGACUGAUAAGACCCAAUAUGAGGUUGAGGGCAUCGGAUAUGACUUCAUCCCCACUGUUCUGGACAGAUCUGUGGUGGAUAGUUGGUACAAGUCCAAUGAUGAAGAGUCCUUUACCAUGUCUCGUCUGCUCAUCAGAGAGGAGGGUCUUCUGUGUGGUGGUAGUUCAGGCACAGCCAUGGCUGCAGCAGUGCAUGCAGCCAAAGAGCUGGAGGAGGGCCAGCGCUGUGUGGUGAUUCUCCCCGACUCCAUCCGCAACUACAUGUCUAAAUUUCUUAGCGACAAGUGGAUGUGUGAAAAGGGCUUCCUGCGUGAGGAGGAUCUUGUAGUCAACAAGCCAUGGUGGUGGAAUCUGACUCUACAGGAGCUACGGCUCUCUGCCCCACUGACUGUGCUGCCUUUAGUGUCCAUUAAGAAGACCAUUCAGAUCCUGAAAGAGAAGGCUUUUGACCAAGCCCCAGUGGUGGACGAGGCCGGGCAGAUUCUGGGCAUGGUCACAUUGGGGAACAUGCUCUCGUCCGUUCUGGCUGGGAAGGUCAGGCCAUCCGAUCCUAUAAACAAAGUUCUCUACAAACAGUUUAAACAGGUGCGCCUAACUGAUAACCUGGGCAAACUCUCACGUAUCCUUGAGACGGACCAUUUCGCCCUUGUUGUGCAUGAACAGAUUCAGUACAUGAGCAAUGGAUCCCCAAAGAUGAGGCAGAUGGUGUUUGGGGUGGUGACAGCCAUUGACCUGCUGAACUACGUGGCCACUCGUGAGAGGAGGGAGCGCUCACUGUCCGAGUGCUCGCUGUCCGAAGAUCAGUGAACAACCAAGAGUUGAAGCUUUUCACAGUUUUUACCUUUAUUUCUCUGCAAGUGGUAUGCUCCACAUAUGCUUUUAUAAGAGCCAGUCAAUAUAGAUUUACAUGUAAAACAAAUUUCUCUCUGUUUACAGCAUGUUCUUCUUUUAUCUCUAAAGAAGAGAUAGCUGUUUUGUUAGCCAAUCAGCAUAGUGAAGUUAUAUCACAGAUCAGUCAAACACCAUUUGUAGUUUUGUUUACUUUGCAGAUUUGAUUUGAUGGUGUAUAUAUUUAAAAGAAUGUUAUUUUAUUCUUUUAAUAACUCUGCAUGCAGUUUGAUUUAGUUUAGUUUAUGUGCUGGAUUCAGGUGCUCUCUUGUUAAAGCUACAGCUUCAAUCACCACCUAGUGACUGCAAUAGAUUACGACAGGCAUAGAAACUUCGACUUUCAGGAUUCAUGCUCUGCUUUUUGGCACAAUUAUCUCUGGAACGUGUGAGGAGUUUUGCAGGUUGAUACUAAGUGUUUUUGCAGGUUGAUACUAAGUGUGUUUAGCAAAGCAAACUGCACCCGGACGAGAUGACUUGUGAUUUUUCUUGUAUUGUUGCAAGACCGGAUAUUGAGUGUAAAUAAAUAAUAGCAGUUUGGACUUGCUUUAAACACAUCACUCUGUGUUGAGCAAAUUUGAUUGUUUCAUUUUUCUAUGUUCUUUUCGUCUGACCUCUUGUAAAUCAAAACUUUAACUGAUAGAGAAUGAAUAAGAUUGUUUGUAUAUGAGUUAAUGUGAAGUAAAUGAAUGUGUGAGGGUGCAUUAGUUUGCACUCCUGAUCAUGGUUUCUGGAGUCUCUGGCUCAGAAUGUCUUUACUCAUUUGAUUUGCUUUUCCUUGAAUCUUUUUGCUUUAAUAAGUGAGAGUUACAAAUAAAGACUUCUUUUCCGGAAGGGA
This is an RNA transcript of Carassius carassius (crucian carp), 2872 nucleotides long. It is a transcript of the gene named cystathionine beta-synthase b, with no coding region annotated. Lineage: Eukaryota; Metazoa; Chordata; Actinopteri; Cypriniformes; Cyprinidae. The transcript is spliced from 16 exons. The record is from RefSeq and is a predicted model, not a curated record.